This 254-nucleotide ribosomal RNA is filed under the name uncultured microorganism. Its description in RNAcentral is "partial 16S ribosomal RNA". It matches the Rfam family "Archaeal small subunit ribosomal RNA", at positions 474 to 727 of the family's 1478-position model. The record is from RNAcentral.
UACGGAGGGUGCAAGCGUUAAUCGGAAUUACUGGGCGUAAAGCGUCCGUAGCCGGCUUGGCAAGUCCCCUGGGAAAUCUGGCGGCUUAACCGUCAGGCGUCCAGAGGAUACUGCCAGGCUUGGGACCGGGAGAGGUGAGAGGUACCUCAGGGGUAGGGGUGAAAUCUUGUGAUCCCUGAGGGACCACCAGUGGCGAAGGCGUCUCACUAGACCGGGUCCGACGGUCAGGGACGAAAGCUGGGGGCACGAACCGG